Molecule: transfer RNA, 82 nt
Filed under: uncultured Desulfurobacterium sp.
Lineage: Bacteria; Pseudomonadati; Aquificota; Aquificia; Desulfurobacteriales; Desulfurobacteriaceae
Rfam family: tRNA
About the family: Transfer RNA (tRNA) molecules are approximately 80 nucleotides in length. Their secondary structure includes four short double-helical elements and three loops (D, anti-codon, and T loops).
Source: RNAcentral
GAGGGGUGGCCGAGUGGUCAAAGGCAGCGGACUGUAAAUCCGCCGGCGUUACGCCUACGCAGGUUCGAAUCCUGCCCCCUCC